Molecule: ribosomal RNA, 824 nt
Filed under: human gut metagenome
Description: bacterial LSU rRNA
Rfam family: Bacterial large subunit ribosomal RNA
Source: RNAcentral
UUUACUCCAGCCUGAUACUGGGAUUCGGUAUUGCAUGUACAGGAUAGGUGGGAGGCUGAGAAACGGUAACGUCAGUUGCCGCGGAGCCGCUGUUGGGAUACCACCCUUGCAGUACUGGGUUUCUAACCUGCGCCCGUGACCCGGGCGGGGGACAAUGUCAGGCGGGGAGUUUGACUGGGGCGGUCGCCUCCGAAAGGGUAUCGGAGGCGCUCAAAGGUUCCCUCAGAAUGGACGGAAACCAUUCGAAGAGUGCAAAGGCAGAAGGGAGCUUGACUGCGACACCGACGGGUGGAGCAGGUACGAAAGUAGGACUUAGUGAUCCGGUGGUAUAAAGUGGGAUUGCCAUCGCUCAACGGAUAAAAGCUACCCUGGGGAUAACAGGCUUAUCACUCCCAAGAGUUCACAUCGACGGAGUGGUUUGGCACCUCGAUGUCGGCUCAUCGCAUCCUGGGGCUGUAGUAGGUCCCAAGGGUUGGGCUGUUCGCCCAUUAAAGCGGUACGCGAGCUGGGUUCAGAACGUCGUGAGACAGUUCGGUCCCUAUCCGGCGCGGGCGGAGGAUAUUUGAGAGGAGCUGUCCUUAGUACGAGAGGACCGGGAUGGACGGACCACUGGUGUAUCUGUUGUCGACCAACGGCAUGGCAGAGUAGCCAAGUCUGGAAGGGAUAAACGCUGAAGGCAUCUAAGCGUGAAGCCCCCCUCAAGAUGAGAUAUCCCAUUCUUAGUGAAGUAAACCCCCUUGAAGACGACGAGGUAGAUAGGGCAGAGGUGGAAGUGUGGUAACACAUGGAGCUGACUGUUACUAAUCGGGUGAGGGCUUGACCAA